CAGCAGCCACGGGAAUACGUAGGGUGCAAGCGUUAAUCGGAAUUACUGGGCGUAAAGCGUGCGCAGGCGGUUAUAUAAGACAGAUGUGAAAUCCCCGGGCUCAACCUGGGAACUGCAUUUGUGACUGUAUAGCUAGAGUACGGCAGAGGGGGAUGGAAUUCCGCGUGUAGCAGUGAAAUGCGUAGAUAUGCGGAGGAACACCGAUGGCGAAGGCAAUCCCCUGGGCCUGUACUGACGCUCAUGCACGAAAGCGUGGGGAGCAAACAGGAUUAGAGACCCCCGUAGUCCCUGUCUCUUAUAA
This 301-nucleotide ribosomal RNA is filed under the name uncultured bacterium. RNAcentral's name for it is "partial 16S ribosomal RNA". It matches the Rfam family "Bacterial small subunit ribosomal RNA", at positions 509 to 809 of the family's 1533-position model. The record is from RNAcentral.